Drosophila sulfurigaster albostrigata is the source of this 208-nucleotide long non-coding RNA. RefSeq lists it as uncharacterized. The transcript has 2 exons. Lineage: Eukaryota; Metazoa; Arthropoda; Insecta; Diptera; Drosophilidae. The record is from RefSeq and is a predicted model, not a curated record.
UAAGAAAAUAAACGGUGCCACUUACCCGCAAGUAAUCAAAAUGCUACAAUGUAUAAAAUCCUUUUGUUGCAAUGACUUAAUCCUCAGCCGCCUUCUCCUGGGAGCAUCCAAUAAUAGUCUUGCUAUAAACUCAGCUUACAAAUUAAACGCAUUCAAGUGCAAGAUGCUGGAAUUUUGAUUGGGUCAACAAAGUCGAUGCUGAAGCUGA